This is a small nuclear RNA of Microtus ochrogaster (prairie vole), 104 nucleotides long. NCBI's taxonomy places the organism in Eukaryota, Metazoa, Chordata, Mammalia, Rodentia, Cricetidae. The record is from Ensembl.
GUGCUUGCUAUGGCAGCACACACACUAAGAUUGGAACUAUAACAGAGAUUAGCACGGCCCUGUGCAAGGACAACAUACAAAUUCAUGAAGCUGUCCCUAGUUUU